This 502-nucleotide ribosomal RNA is filed under the name uncultured bacterium. Its description in RNAcentral is "bacterial SSU rRNA". It matches the Rfam family "Bacterial small subunit ribosomal RNA", at positions 25 to 518 of the family's 1533-position model. The record is from RNAcentral.
CAGAACGAACGCUGGCGGCGCGUUUAAGCAUGCAAGUCGAGCGGCAAGGGCCUCGGGCCCUAGAGCGGCGGACGGGUGAGUAACACGUGGACAAUCUGCCCCCCGGCCCGGGAUAGCCCAGGGAAACCUGGAUUAAUACCGGAUGAGACGGGACCCGCGAAGGCGGGACCCGGGAAAGGCGCUGCGGCGCCGCCGGGGGAUGAGUCUGCGUCCCAUUAGCUAGACGGCGGGGUAACGGCCCACCGUGGCGACGAUGGGUAGCCGGCCUGAGAGGGUGGACGGCCACAUUGGAACUGAGACACGGUCCAGACUCCUACGGGAGGCAGCAGCUAAGAAUCUUCCGCAAUGGGCGAAAGCCUGACGGAGCAACGCCGCGUGAGUGAAGAAAAGGUUUUCGGAUCGUAAAACUCUGUUGUCAGAGAAGAACAAGUUGGAGAGUAACUGCUCCAGCCUUGACGGUAUCUGACCAGAAAGCCACGGCUAACUACGUGCCAGCCGCCGC